UAGAUGGAUGCUUGUUGGUUAGAGCGUUUAGCUGUUAACUAAGAGUUUGUGGGAUCGAAGCCUGCCCAUCUAG
RNAcentral lists this transfer RNA (73 nucleotides) under Callopanchax occidentalis (golden pheasant panchax). RNAcentral describes it as "tRNA-Asn". It matches the Rfam family "tRNA". Rfam says of the family: Transfer RNA (tRNA) molecules are approximately 80 nucleotides in length. The record is from RNAcentral. Lineage: Eukaryota; Metazoa; Chordata; Actinopteri; Cyprinodontiformes; Nothobranchiidae.